GAAGCACUUGUUAUGCUCCUACUGGGGAAACCGUCCUGAGCCUAAGCAUGAUGCUCCAAUGCUUCCAUGCUUCGAGGGACACAAAGGUGAUUCAGCCCACAGCCCUUACACCCGCUGCCUUAGAAGAGCCCACAAAGGAACAAGCAGGUCCCAGGAGGUGGUAAGUCAAGAUGGACAGCCUCUUGCAACACAUAGGAAGAUCCAAGACCUCGGCUGCCUCACUGUGUGACCUCAAGCAGGCCCCCCACCUCUCAGCCUCCAUUUCACCAACUAUAAAGUGAGGAGACUACUUGAUCGAGUCCUUCCCAGCUCCAAAGCCCUGAAUCUAUAAAAACAGCACCUAAUGGCCAGGCGUGGUAGCUCAUGCCUGCAAUCCCAGCACUUUGGGAGGCGCCCUAACACACAGUAAACGUGAAAUGUACUUGUUGAAUAUAAGCAUGACACCAUUUACUGAAAUACCACACACUCCUCUCAUCCUCAUUCUAGCAAAUACCAUUCUCCCCAUUUUACAGGUGAAGAAACUGAGGCUAGGGGAAGGUAAGGAACCCACUCAAGGUCACACCGCUGGAAACUGACAAACAGCCAGGUCGCUCUGAAGAGACCUGGGGGCAAAACUGCCCGCAGGCCAUUCUGAAAGCUCUCCUGGGUGGGGAGGGCAACAAUGGGCGUUCAGGGGGUGGGGCUCUGUAUUCCCUUAGCCUCGCAGGGCACACCGGGCUGCU
This 722-nucleotide long non-coding RNA is filed under the name Homo sapiens (human). RNAcentral describes it as "non-protein coding lnc-RPS14-5:1". The record is from RNAcentral. Lineage: Eukaryota; Metazoa; Chordata; Mammalia; Primates; Hominidae.